GCAACGGCAAAAUCCGUUGCCGGGAUUGAGACCCCGAAGCAUUCCAAGCGCACAACACGCGCCCGCGUGUUUUUU
RNAcentral lists this small RNA (75 nucleotides) under Aeromonas hydrophila. RNAcentral's name for it is "isrK". It matches the Rfam family "isrK Hfq binding RNA". The record is from RNAcentral. Lineage: Bacteria; Pseudomonadati; Pseudomonadota; Gammaproteobacteria; Aeromonadales; Aeromonadaceae.